GGGCCGGAGGAGGGACGCGCCGGAGCGGGACCGACGGGACCGAGCGAGCGACCGACGCGCCACCCGCCGACGCCUCAGCCGCUUGGGGCCCGCACGGACCCUCUACUUCAAUUAUUUACUGGCAAGAUGAGCAGGAUUACCAUGAAAAGUCCAGAUGGACUGAGGAAAUCCUACACUGAUUCUCCAAACUUGGCAGCUGACUGCAUGGAGGGCUCAUGAUGAAGAAACCUCUUUUGCCAUCCUGAGGAUUCUCUGAUUCAUAUUCGCCUAGAUGUGCUGGAAACAGUACUGGACCAAGGUGCAAACUUGAGUCUAGUGAGGUACUAAUGGGCUGAAGUUUUUCUGAGCAUCACUUUCCUCAUCUGUAUAAUGAGGGGUUGGCCAAGGAAACCCCUAAGGUUAUCUUCCAGCUGACUUUCCAAUUGGUGAACCCUUUGGAAAAGGGGUGCAGCUUGCUUCUGGUCUUCAUCCUCAAGUAUGCUGUGCUUGGACAGGGGCCAAAACUAAUUCCCCCACUCACCAUUUGCCAAGCAUAACUACAACAGUACCUGGCACAUAGUGGAUGCUUAUUAAAUAUUUAUUGCAGGAAUGAGUAAAUAUAACUAACUGAUCAUAAGGUAAAAUAGUCUUCAUUGGAACAAGGCUCCAGAUAGUUGGGCAGGGCUGGGAGCUGAGACUGCUGCAGUCCUGCCAGCUGAGAGAACUCUGACAAGGCACUGAUCUGGGUGGCUUUAUUAGGAUGUCUGACAGCUUCAGAGGUGGCCACAUUUCUUUUCCUUUAAACAUGUCUAAUUUGGCCGGGCGCAGUGGCUCACGCCUGUAAUCCCAACACUUUGGGAAGCCUAGGUGGGUGGAUCACUCGAGGUCAGGAGUUCGAGAUCAGCCUGACCAAUAUGGUGAAACCCCGCUUUACUAAAAAUACAAGAAAUUAGCAGGGUGUGGUGGCGGGUGCCUGUAGUCCCAGCUACUUGGGAGGCUGAGGCAGGAGCAUCGCCUGAACUCAGGAGACGGAGGUUGCAGUGAGCUGAGAUCACACCACUGUACUCCAGCAUGGGUGACAGUGAGACUCCAUCUCAAAAAAAAAAAAA
RNAcentral lists this small RNA (1088 nucleotides) under Pan troglodytes (chimpanzee). RNAcentral describes it as "processed transcript". Lineage: Eukaryota; Metazoa; Chordata; Mammalia; Primates; Hominidae. The record is from RNAcentral.